This 549-nucleotide long non-coding RNA is filed under the name Mus musculus (house mouse). Its description in RNAcentral is "predicted gene, 34698, transcript variant 2 (Gm34698)". Lineage: Eukaryota; Metazoa; Chordata; Mammalia; Rodentia; Muridae. The record is from RNAcentral.
GAACACAGUGCAAGGAGCCAUGCUGUGACACAGUGUCCUGGAUGACAUCUGCUGGAGAUGGACCAAACCGUGCAUUUGACACAGGUAGGGGCACGCAUGGCCGAGCACUCGCUGUCACAGUGGGAAGAAUUUAUGUUUGCAUUUGCCUCUCGUCCCUUCUCACAUAUGGUCUUCCAGGCCUUUGGGAAUUCCAUGGAGAAGGGGAAGGAGAGUUCUGAAAGGAGCUUGCCGUGCCAAGGGAGCCAGUGCUGAAUAAAGAUGAGCUUGCCAUUCCUCCCUGACUCACAGCAAUAGGUAAGAUAGGCAUUGAGGAUCUUCUAUGUGCUAGGUCCUAUGCAAAGUGCUGGUAUUCAAGAUAAACAAGAAGACCCUGCUUGCCUUCUUAAAAGAAUCCUAUACCUGGGAAGGAUGGUCACAUGAAUAAAUGAGGAAGAAGAGAUGGAGGUGCACAGAUUGUCCCCAAAGGAGAAGGACCUAGUGGUUCUCCCCAGAAAUGAUAGUCCUUAACAAUAUUUCCAAAGUCAGAUAAAGAAGGCAACUCUUCUGCAA